Molecule: transfer RNA, 68 nt
Filed under: Ovis aries (sheep)
Lineage: Eukaryota; Metazoa; Chordata; Mammalia; Artiodactyla; Bovidae
Rfam family: tRNA
About the family: Transfer RNA (tRNA) molecules are approximately 80 nucleotides in length.
Source: Rfam by way of RNAcentral
CCUGGUGGCUCAGUGGUAAAGAAUCUGCCUGAAAUGCAGGAGAUCCUGGUUCAAUCCCUGGGUCAGGA